ACCCCACGAAGCUGGAUUCGCUAGUAAUCGCGCAUCAGCCAUGGCGCGGUGAAUACGUUCCCGGGCCUUGUACACACCGCCCGUCAAGCCAUGAAAGCCGGGGGCGCCUGAAGUCCGUGACCGCGAGGGUCGGCCUAGGGUGAAACCGGUGAUUGGGGCUAAGUCGUAACAAGGUACC
Molecule: ribosomal RNA, 178 nt
Filed under: uncultured bacterium
Lineage: Bacteria
Description: partial 16S ribosomal RNA
Rfam family: Bacterial small subunit ribosomal RNA
Source: RNAcentral